CCUACGGGUGGCAGCAGUGGGGAAUAUUGGGCAAUGGGCGAAAGCCUGACCCAGCAACGCCGCGUGAAGGAAGACGGCUUUCGGGUUGUAAACUUCUUUUGACAGGGAAGAGCAGAAGACGGUACCUGUCGAGUAAGACACGGCUAACUACGUGUCAGCAGGCGCGGUAAUACGUAGGAGGCAAGCGUUGUCCGGAUUUACUGGGUGUAAAGGGCGUGUAGCCGGGCUGACAGGUCAGAUGGGAAAUCCUGGGGCUCAACCCCCGUACUGCAUUUGAAACUGGUGGUCUUGAGUAUAGGAGAGGCAGGCGGAAUUCGUAGUGUAGCGGUGAAAUGCGUAGAUAUUAGGAGGAACACCAGUGGCGAAGGCGGCCUGCUGGACGACAACUGACGGUGAGGCGCGAAAGCGUGGGGAGCAAACAGGAUUAGAUACCCGGGUAGUC
RNAcentral lists this ribosomal RNA (442 nucleotides) under uncultured bacterium. Its description in RNAcentral is "partial 16S ribosomal RNA". It matches the Rfam family "Bacterial small subunit ribosomal RNA", at positions 338 to 795 of the family's 1533-position model. The record is from RNAcentral.